UGUAGUCUUCUGGUAAUCGCGGUCUAUUUUAUAUAGGCUGAGGAAAGUCCAAGCUUGCACAGGCUGCGAUGCCUGUAGUGAUCGUGCUUGCUGAAAAAAUAAGGCAAGGUACCAUUUUGAUGGUAACGGCAGAUAAAAGGGCUAAAGUCAUUUGACCAUGUCCGAGUAGUCUUGAAAAGUGCCACAGUGACGAAGCAAUAGUGGAAACAUUAUUGGUGGAACGCGGUAAACCCCACGAGCAGGUAACCCAAAAUUUGGUAGGGGCGCUUCAUGACGGAAAUGAACUAAUCAUGGGGGCGAGUUAUCUAACUCGGAGAUAGAUGAUUACCACCGAUUUUAGCUCCUGGGCUAAAUGACGUACAGAACGUGGCUUAUAGAGGACUACAUAUU
This 390-nucleotide RNase P RNA is filed under the name Ligilactobacillus animalis. Its description in RNAcentral is "Lactobacillus animalis bacterial RNase P". It matches the Rfam family "Bacterial RNase P class B". Rfam says of the family: Ribonuclease P (RNase P) is a ubiquitous endoribonuclease, found in archaea, bacteria and eukarya as well as chloroplasts and mitochondria. Its best characterised activity is the generation of mature 5'-ends of tRNAs by cleaving the 5'-leader elements of precursor-tRNAs. The record is from RNAcentral. Lineage: Bacteria; Bacillati; Bacillota; Bacilli; Lactobacillales; Lactobacillaceae.